AAAGAAUUAGUUAAAUAAAUAACAUUAGUAUGUCAAACUUAAAUUAUUAUCCUAAUAAUAUUCUUUU
Molecule: transfer RNA, 67 nt
Filed under: Aporia hippia
Lineage: Eukaryota; Metazoa; Arthropoda; Insecta; Lepidoptera; Pieridae
Description: tRNA-Asp
Source: RNAcentral